CAAAGAUUAGCAUUAAAAAGAAUCCAAGUACUUUACAAUAGGACAAUGGAAAAGAUGCCCUGAAGACAUAUAAGGAACCCACAAGGCCCAACCUUUCCAAGGCUCACAGUUGCAAAAGGGAAAGACUUUGUUUUGAGAGGAGAGCCCCAGGGCACCCUGCUUGAGAAGGGCCACCUCGGCCGGGUUCCCUGGGAUUCAUUCAGUUCACGGUGCUCAGCCAUCCAGGCCCAUGGAUGCUUCUGCAGCCACGAUGCACAAAGGCCUAAGGACUGCUUGGAGCCAGUGGUAGAACUUUGUGUCAUCUGCAGGGUGCUGUUUUCACGGGUAUGCAGAACGCAAGAGUUGAGUCAGGAAGGCUUCCACCCAAAUUUCAAAAGAAGGCCUGGCAGGCCAGGCUGGGUGUCCCUGAGAGGGCAGUGCAUGCAGCUGUGAGAGUUAAGCCGAAGGUGCACUGGAGAACGCAGGAUGAGGGUGCAGUCAGGAACAUGGAACACCUGCGGAAAGCCACGCACCCAAACAUGUAACCCUCAUCUAAUCAGGAAGGAGACAUCGGGAAAACUUAAAUUGAGGGACAUUCUAUAAGAUAUCAGCUCAGUCAUCCUCCAAACUGUCAGCUCAUACAAAACGAAAAAAGGAAAAAUUGUGAAAACAUCAGUCAAGAGGCGUCUGAGGGAUGCAACGAUGAAAUGCAAUGUGGCAGCCCGGACGGGACUGCAGAUUGUUGUGGAGAGCAAGUGGUGAAGGUUUUUCUCUCCUUUGGUACCGGGGAUUGAACUCAGGACCUUGUGGUGGUGAGGCGGGCAUGGUGCCACUGAGCUGAAUCCCUGGCCCUUCAAGCUCUGUUAUGUACACGUAGCCACUCCCCAAGUGAUUGUGAACUGCACAACAAAAAUAAACAACAGUGUAAACAGCAGGCCUACUUUCUAACACUGAAUCUCCCACCCUCAGCCAUAAUACAACCCUAAAUGUAUUCCUAAACCUCAACCAAAUUCCAACAAAAGCCGCAACCCAAACUGCACCUUGCCCCUUGGUCCUAAGCCACUUCCUCACCCUAAAUGUAGCGAAAUUGUGAGGAUGCGACCUCACUUGCUUGGUAUUAGAACCCAGCGAAACUGGGUGCCCUUCGGAAUCUGUCUCCCAUCCUGACCCCUUGGAGGGAGACAGAGAAGAGGGGAGGACGAGCUGUUGUCAUUUUCCCGCUCUCCGACGGUCUAGCCACAGAAAGGACCGCCAUCCGAGCCUUUUCCGACCUUGGCUCAGCUCUGGCCACAGGUGUUUCCAGCUAAUGUUCAGGAGGAACCCACAUGUGAGAGAGGCAGUGCAGUGCCCGUCCUGGACGUCCGCGC
Molecule: long non-coding RNA, 1346 nt
Filed under: Heterocephalus glaber (naked mole-rat)
Lineage: Eukaryota; Metazoa; Chordata; Mammalia; Rodentia; Bathyergidae
Description: lncRNA (ENSHGLG00100039615.1)
Source: RNAcentral